RNAcentral lists this ribosomal RNA (302 nucleotides) under uncultured bacterium. RNAcentral's name for it is "partial 16S ribosomal RNA". It matches the Rfam family "Bacterial small subunit ribosomal RNA", at positions 508 to 807 of the family's 1533-position model. The record is from RNAcentral.
GCAGCAGCCACGGUAAUACGAAGGGGGCUAGCGUUGCUCGGAAUCACUGGGCGUAAAGGGUGCGUAGGCGGGUCUUUAAGUCAGGGGUGAAAUCCUGGAGCUCAACUCCAGAACUGCCUUUGAUACUGAAGAUCUUGAGUUCGGGAGAGGUGAGUGGAACUGCGAGUGUAGAGGUGAAAUUCGUAGAUAUUCGCAAGAACACCAGUGGCGAAGGCGGCUCACUGGCCCGAUACUGACGCUGAGGCACGAAAGCGUGGGGAGCAAACAGGAUUAGAUACCCCGGUAGUCCCUGUCUCUUAUAC